RNAcentral lists this ribosomal RNA (467 nucleotides) under uncultured bacterium. Its description in RNAcentral is "partial 16S ribosomal RNA". It matches the Rfam family "Bacterial small subunit ribosomal RNA", at positions 28 to 507 of the family's 1533-position model. The record is from RNAcentral.
GACGAACGCUGGCGGCGUGCUUAACACAUGCAAGUCGAACGGAAAGGCCCUGCUUUUGUGGGGUGCUCGAGUGGCGAACGGGUGAGUAACACGUGAGUAACCUGCCCUUGACUUUGGGAUAACUUCAGGAAACUGGGGCUAAUACCGGAUAGGAGCUCCUGCUGCAUGGUGGGGGUUGGAAAGUUUCGGCGGUUGGGGAUGGACUCGCGGCUUAUCAGCUUGUUGGUGGGGUAGUGGCUUACCAAGGCUUUGACGGGUAGCCGGCCUGAGAGGGUGACCGGCCACAUGGGGACUGAGAUACGGCCCAGACUCCUACGGGAGGCAGCAGUGGGAAAUAUUGCACAAUGGGCGGAAGCCGGAGGCAGCAACGCCGCGUGCGGAAUGACGGCCUUCGGGUUGUAAACCGCUUUAGCCUGUAACGAAGCGUGAGUGACGGUAAUGGGUAAAGAAGCACCGGCUACUACGUG